Molecule: long non-coding RNA, 3627 nt
Organism: Mirounga angustirostris (Northern elephant seal)
Lineage: Eukaryota; Metazoa; Chordata; Mammalia; Carnivora; Phocidae
Exons: 4
Source: RefSeq, a predicted model, not a curated record
AUGUACUUCCUGUGCGUCGAUUUCCCACCAUCACAAUGAUUUCAGUGUCCUAGGCUGAGAGCUGGCAGAGAACUUAACCAUUAUUAGAUGCUGGUGUGCCUGAAAUAGGUUACAGGUUUAUGCAGACAUUGACUCUCAGGGUCCUGACCCUUGGGGUGGCUGGUGGAACCAGGAGGGUGGGACCCCUUGAGCCAGCUGCCUGUGGCAAGAAGCAGCCUCAUUCAUUGUAAAAUUAUUUUUUAUAGAUUUUAUUUAUUUAUUAGAGAGAAAGAGAGAGAGAGAAUGAGCAGGGAGAGGGGCAGAGGGAAGAGGGAGAAGCAGGUACCCCGCUGGGCAGGGAGCCCGACACACGGCUCCAUCCCAGGACCCCAGGAUCAUGACCCGAGCCGAAGGCAGAUGUUCAACCGACUGAGCCACCCAGGCACCCCUCAUUGUAAAAUUAAUAUUUUCUAUACAGGUAUACCCCGCUUUUCAAAAGUUCAUGUUAUGCCACUCAGCUUUCUUGUGAGACCUGCGCUAGUACCUGUUUUCGCCCACUGAAGGAAAUCCAAGGAGGAUUUGGGCUUUUAUGGAGAAGGGCAAGAAGCGGACAUCGUGUUCAGCCUUGAUUUUGCAGAGAGCCUUGGUGGAGGCAACGCACACCCCAGGCAGAGAGAGCAGCCCUGCCUCACUCCUUCCCCGGGAACGACACUCAGCAUCCCGGCAUCAAGCUGCCACGGCUUUGAACCGUGUCUAUCUGCCUUACGGCAAAUCAGUUUUGCGGCAAAGACGCUUACGGCGGAGAUGCUCCUGGCGAAAUACCAGACGUGCCAAGAAAUCCUGCCCGAAGGAGGCUGCAACACGCCGCUUGGCUUGGCUUUCAUCUUGCCCAGCUGCUUACCAAAGCCUUCCUCUUUCCUCUUCGAGGCCUUUAGUUGGCAGGGCUGAGCCCGGAGAACUACCUCAGGAGAUGGCUGAAGCCUGGCUCGAAUCCGGCCUCCCCAGCUCCUCCCUGCCCGUCCCUGAAGUCGGCCCCAUCCUGAGCUGGAGGACCCGCAACCCAGCACCAGGUGGGGGCUGCUUCUCAGCUGUGGACUGAGGGAAUGGAGCCUUGUGGCCUAUGUUCGGGAAUUCACCGAAGGGGCAUCAUCCCCGUGGUAGACGGACUCUGAUUUAUUGGAACCUACAGGUGGCUAGCCAAUCCAGAGGGUGCUCAUUUGAGAAUGAAGACUUCCCACGUGAUUUCUGAUCUUGUCACAGUUUGAUGAUUACUACAUCAACAUUUCUACUUUCCUCGGGUUUUUAUAAAAUUGCCUCCCUAAUCCCUGCCUGAGACACAACAAUAUUGAAAUUAGGCCAAUUAAUAACCAUGUGUUCAAGUCUCUCACUUUAAGUCCGAAGCUAGAAAUGGUUAAGCUUAGUGAAGAAAGCAUGUCAAAAGUGGAGAUAGGCCCAAAGCGAGGCUUCUGGCACCAAACAGUUAAGCUAAGUUGUGAAUGCAAAACAAAAGUUCUUGAAGGAAAUUCAAGGUGCUACUCCAGGGAAUGCACAAAUGAUAAGAAAGUGAAAUAGCCUUAUUGCUGAUACAGAGAAAGUUUUAGUAUUCUGGAUAGAGGAUCAAACCAGCCACACCAUUCCCUUAUGCCAAAGCCUAAUCCAGAGCACAGUCCUAACCCUCUUCAAUUCUACGAAGGCUGGAUGUGAUGAGGAAGCUAUAGAAGAAAAGUUUGAAGCUAGCAGAGGUUGGUGCAUGAGGUGUCCAGGAAAGAAGCUAUCUCUGUAACAUUAAAAGGCAAGGUAAAGCAGCUAGUGCUGAUAAAGAAGCUGCAGCGAGUUAUCUGGAAGCUAUAGCUCAGAUUAGUCAUGAAGGUGGCUACACUAAACAGACUUUCAGUGUAGAUGAAACAAUCUUCUAUUGGAAGAAGCUGUCACCUAGGACUUUCAUAGCUACAGAAGAGAAGUCAAUGCCUGGCCUCAAAGCUUCAAAGGACAGACUGACUUUCUUGUUAGGGUCAAAUGCGGCUGGUGACUUUGAGUUAAAGUCAUUGCUCUUGGAACAUUCUGAAAAUCCUGGGGCCCUUAGGAAUUAGGCCCAGUCUACUCUGCCUGUGCUCAAACAAGGGAACAACAAAGCCCGGGUGAUAGCGUAUCUGUUUGCAACCUGAUUUAUGAAUAUUUUAAGAAUAUUUGAGCCCUACUGUUGAGAAAAAAGAUUCCUUUCAAAAUCUUACUGCUCUUGACAAUGCACCUGGUCACCCAAGAGCUCAGAUGGAGAUGUACAACGAGAUGACUGCUGUUUUCAUGCCUGCUGACACAGCAUCCGUUCUGCAGCCCACGGAUCAAGGAAUAAUUUCAACUCAAGUCUCAUUUAAGAAACACAUUGUAAAACUAUAGCUGCCACACAUAGUGAUUCCUCUGAUGGAUUUGGGCAACAUCAACUGAAAACCUCUGGAAAGAACUCGCCAUUCUAGAUGCCAUUAAUAAUAGAAAUCAAUAAAAAUAACAAUAAAGAAGUCAAAAUAUCCACAUUAACAAGAGUUUGGAAGAAGCUGAUUUUGACCCUCAUGGAUGACAUUUGAGGAGAGACUUCAGUGGAGGAGGUAACUGCAGAUUGGUGGAAAAGCUAGAGAACAAGAAUGAGAAGCGGAGCCUGAAGAUGGGACUGAAUUGCUACAGUCUCAUGAUAAAACUGUAACAGAUGAGGAGUUGCUUCCUGAGAAGAAGAAAAAAGGGCUUUCUUGAGAUGGAAUCUGUUCCUGGUGCAGGGACUAUGAGGAUGGUCGCAACGACAACAGAGGAUUUAGAGUAUCACGUAAACUUAGUUGAUAAAGCAGAAGCAGAGUUUGAGAGGAUUGACUCCAAUUUUGAGAAGUUCAUGGUGGGUGAAAUGCUAUCAGACAGCAUCGCAUGCUACAGAGAAAUCGUUUGUGGGAAGAAGAGUCCAUGGAUGCAGCAGACGUCAUUGUCUUAUUUUAAAAAAAUUGUCACAGCCACCCCAGCCUUCAGCAACCACCACCUGAUCAGUCAGCAGCCAUCAACAUCGAGGCAAGACCCUCCAGCAGCAAAAAGAUGACUCGCUGGAAGCUCAAAUGACAGUAUUUUUUAGCAAGAAAGUAUUUUUAAAUUAAGAUAUCUGCAGUUUUUUUUCCACAUAGUGCUAUUGCAUACUCAAUAAACUACAGUACAGUGGAAACAUAACCUUUAUAUGCACAGAGCAACCAAAACAUUCAACUCACUUUAUUGUGAUACUCGCUUUAUUGCGGUGGUCUGGAACCAAACCUGCAGUAUCUCUGAUGUAUGCCUGCAUUUUGACUUAACAAUAUUUCAACUUUGGAUGAGUAUAUUGGGAUGUAACCCAUGGUAGGUCAAGGAAAUUCUGUAAUGAUUCAGAAAGAUAUUCACAAAAUGUUAAAUGUAACAAGUUACAACACUGUGUUUACAGUAUGAUGUUUUAAAAAAGUUACUGUAUAAAUAUUGGAUAGCUAUAUGCAAUAAUGUCAGCAGUUGGUGGUUUAUCUGUAAAAGGUGUGAUUCUGGCACAUUUUAAGCUUUCUGUUUGUGUUUUUGGUAUUUUAUAAAAUGAAUAUAUGUCAAGUUUAUUUUAGGAAUAAAAAGGUUAUCAUAAAACAAAACAUAAUCCACUGUCCU